UUAUCAGUGAGGUUAAUCCUUACCUGUUCCUCCUCCGGGAGAAACAGCACAUGAUGAAUGGAGGAGGCUGAGUCACUGAUUACUCUGUACUCCGAUUCUGUCUGAUGCGACAACACUAUUCAGGUAGAGCCAUUCUGAU
This is a small nucleolar RNA of Xenopus tropicalis (tropical clawed frog), 139 nucleotides long. Its record names the gene U8. It matches the Rfam family "U8 small nucleolar RNA". Rfam says of the family: U8 is a member of the C/D class of snoRNA which contain the C (UGAUGA) and D (CUGA) box motifs. Lineage: Eukaryota; Metazoa; Chordata; Amphibia; Anura; Pipidae. The record is from Ensembl.